This is a long non-coding RNA of Mus musculus (house mouse), 1621 nucleotides long. RefSeq annotates it as predicted gene, 41797. Lineage: Eukaryota; Metazoa; Chordata; Mammalia; Rodentia; Muridae. The transcript has 3 exons. The record is from RefSeq and is a predicted model, not a curated record.
UGCUUAGAUGCAUUACCUUGUUUAUUGGCACAAGAAAUGAGGUGAGAGAUACUGUGGGCCCCUUAGAAUGAAGGUCAGUGAAGGCAGGGAGCUCUGCCUGCUUGCUGGUCCCCAGGACAGCAAUUUUCAUGGGCUUUGUAAAAUGGAGGCUCUGACAUGGAUGGAUUUAUAACUUGAUGGGCUAUUGAGGGGGUUGACAGAGACUGAGUAGUUGGUAUCUAGUUGACAGGACCAACUCUCUUCCCUUCUUCACUGUCUCCUUAUACAUCCUUUCUCCCACAAGGUGAGCCAUUUAUCAGUCCACAUGCUCCCUAAUAUGAUGUCCUGUCUCACUAGGACCCACAGCGACAAGGCCAAGUGACCACUGACCAAAAGCAGAGAAACUGGGAGCCCAGCCUGCCUGUGGGAACCUGGAAGUCUCUCCUCUUCUCCCCAGCCAUUGGCCUCUUGCAUCUUUAUUGACCAAUCAAGAACCAGUUGGGAAACAGGACCUUCAGUGUUCACAUGAAGAUUCCCAAAUGAAAGCCUCAGAAGCAGCCCCUGCAGGACACAGCCAGUUACGGUGAUAUGCACAGGGGUUUUCCCAGUGAAAGAAAGGCAAGAGGAAAACAAAAACCAGCCGAAUACCAGCACCUUGCAUUCCCCUGGAGAUACACUCCAGCGUUUACCGCGGAGGUGCAAACUUGGUAAUUAGGAUGAGGUGCUGCCGCCAGAGCCCAGGCAAUCACCUCUCUCUGCUUCCUCUUGGCCAUGAUGUGCACAGCCUCUGCUGUAUACUCCUACCAUCACCAAGAGCUAAGCUGCUCCUUCAUGCCUUCACCAUCAUGGUGGGCCAACAUCAUGACCCCACGCAAAUCUCAUGCUUUAAGUUGCUUCUGUGCAGUGUUUUGUCACAGUGGUGUGAAAGGAGGCAAAGCUUCCCUGUUCUUAGCCUUGUAGGUGUUGACUACAGUUUAGAAAUCAGGGUCUUUGAAAUGAAGGACAUGUGACUACUUUCCUAUAAUUGCCAUCAACUUUACUGUCGCCCUUCUGUGACUCUCAACUGCCAGGGGACCUCUAUAAGGGUAGUUCUGAAAGACAGUUGGUGUUUCUUGCUUUUCUCACUGGUGUGACAAAAAUAUCUAGCAACAGCAACUUAUAGAAGGGAAGGCUCGUUUUGGCUCACAGUUCAAAGGGAUGCAGGCUGCCAUGAUAAGGCAGGUGCGAAAGCAUGAGGCAGCUAGCCACACUGCAUAUUUUACCAGGCAAAGAGAGACAAAUGGCUUCAGGUGCUACACUGGCCUUGUCCUUUUAAUCAAGGCCAAGAUCUCAUGCUGUAGCAUAUUGUGUUGGGCCCCAUUUUGGCCCCAGUCUGGGCCUUGAGGACAAACCUGAGCCUGGCUUGAGUUUUGAGACCUGUCUCUGUCACUUUUGUAUUAGGAUGACUCAGCAAGACCUGUUUGGCCCUAAUUCUGCCCUGCCAUUGCUGAUUUAGAGCUUUGCCAAUGGCUCUGUCACUCCAUACUCUCUGUCACCCUUUCCCACCUCUUAUGUCAUCUUGCCCCACCAAAAAUCCCCCUCCCUGUGUUCUGAACUUAUAUAAGCAAGAAGCUGAUGCCAUAAAGUUGAGUUCCUGCUUCGA